RNAcentral lists this transfer RNA (76 nucleotides) under bacterium. Its description in RNAcentral is "tRNA-Phe". It matches the Rfam family "tRNA". From Rfam's summary of the family: Transfer RNA (tRNA) molecules are approximately 80 nucleotides in length. Their secondary structure includes four short double-helical elements and three loops (D, anti-codon, and T loops). The record is from RNAcentral.
GCCAAGAUAGCUCAUCAGGUAGAGCACCGGUCUGAAGAACCGGGUGUGGUUGGUUCGAGUCCGACUCUUGGUACCA